AAGACUUGUGGCACACUACACCACAUCCAAUGAAUGCAAAUCAAGCACUUUAAUUAAGCUAAAGCCUC
This 68-nucleotide transfer RNA is filed under the name Anolis tigrinus. Its description in RNAcentral is "tRNA-Ala". Lineage: Eukaryota; Metazoa; Chordata; Lepidosauria; Squamata; Anolidae. The record is from RNAcentral.